RNAcentral lists this ribosomal RNA (492 nucleotides) under uncultured bacterium. RNAcentral describes it as "partial 16S ribosomal RNA". It matches the Rfam family "Bacterial small subunit ribosomal RNA", at positions 29 to 507 of the family's 1533-position model. The record is from RNAcentral.
AGUGAACGCUGGCGGUAGGCCUAACACAUGCAAGUCGAACGGCAGCACAUUAAGAGCUUGCUCUUACGGGUGGCGAGUGGCGGACGGGUGAGGAAUACAUCGGAAUCUACUUUUUCGUGGGGGUUAACGUAGGGAAACUUACGCUAAUACCGCAUACGACCUACGGGUGAAAGCAGGGGAUCUUCGGACCUUGCGCGAUUGAAUGAGCCGAUGUUGGAUUAGCUAGUUGGCGGGGUAAAGGCCCACCAAGGCGACGAUCCGUAGCUGGUCUGAGAGGAUGAUCAGCCACACUGGAACGAAGACACGGUCCAGACUCCUACGGGAGGCAGCGGUGGGGAAUAUUGGACAAUGGGCGCAAGCCUGAUCCAGCCAUACCGCGUGGGUGAAGAAGGCCUUCGGGUUGUAAAGCCCUUUUGUUGGGAAAGAAAAGCAGCAGGUUAAUACCCCGCUGUUCUGACGGUACCCAAAGAAUAAGCACCGGCUAACUUCGUG